This is a non-coding RNA of Saimiri boliviensis boliviensis (Bolivian squirrel monkey), 67 nucleotides long. The record is from Ensembl. NCBI's taxonomy places the organism in Eukaryota, Metazoa, Chordata, Mammalia, Primates, Cebidae.
ACUCUCUUAGUAUAAACAGUACCACUGACUUCCAAUCAGUGAGCCUCGACAGACCCGAGAGAGAGUA